GGCUGCCGCCAGCGCUGGCUUCGGUCGUGUUGGCGUCGGCCAUCCGUCUGCGAGCCACAUUCGGCCUUCACUGGUCGGUGUGGGGAGCAGGCUCUUUACUUUGAAAAAAUUAGAGUGUUUAAGGCAGGCAAUUGCCCGAAUACAUUAGCAUGGAAUAAUGGAACAGGACUGCGGUCUAUUUUGUUGGUUAUUAGGUUGCAGUA
RNAcentral lists this ribosomal RNA (203 nucleotides) under uncultured fungus. Its description in RNAcentral is "partial small subunit ribosomal RNA". The stretch from base 95 to 203 matches the Rfam family "Eukaryotic small subunit ribosomal RNA", at positions 751 to 864 of the family's 1831-position model. The record is from RNAcentral. Lineage: Eukaryota; Fungi.